This 292-nucleotide ribosomal RNA is filed under the name uncultured bacterium. RNAcentral describes it as "partial 16S ribosomal RNA". It matches the Rfam family "Bacterial small subunit ribosomal RNA", at positions 505 to 796 of the family's 1533-position model. The record is from RNAcentral.
GUGCCAGCAGCCGCGGUAAUACGGAGGGUGCGAGCGUUGUCCGGAAUCACUGGGCGUAAAGGGCGCGUAGGCGGCUUCUUAAGCGUGCGGUGAAAGCUCGGGGCUCAACUCCGAGUCGGCCGUGCGAACUGGGAAGCUGGAGCACAGUAGAGGCGGGUGGAAUUCCGGGUGUAGCGGUGGAAUGCGUAGAGAUCCGGAAGAACACCGGUGGCGAAGGCGGCCCGCUGGGCUGUGGCUGACGCUGAGGCGCGACAGCGUGGGGAGCAAACAGGAUUAGAUACCCUGGUAGUCC